This 607-nucleotide ribosomal RNA is filed under the name Klebsiella pneumoniae. Its description in RNAcentral is "bacterial SSU rRNA". It matches the Rfam family "Bacterial small subunit ribosomal RNA", at positions 1 to 599 of the family's 1533-position model. The record is from RNAcentral. Lineage: Bacteria; Pseudomonadati; Pseudomonadota; Gammaproteobacteria; Enterobacterales; Enterobacteriaceae.
AAAUUGAAGAGUUUGAUCAUGGCUCAGAUUGAACGCUGGCGGCAGGCCUAACACAUGCAAGUCGAGCGGUAGCACAGAGAGCUUGCUCUCGGGUGACGAGCGGCGGACGGGUGAGUAAUGUCUGGGAAACUGCCUGAUGGAGGGGGAUAACUACUGGAAACGGUAGCUAAUACCGCAUAACGUCGCAAGACCAAAGUGGGGGACCUUCGGGCCUCAUGCCAUCAGAUGUGCCCAGAUGGGAUUAGCUAGUAGGUGGGGUAACGGCUCACCUAGGCGACGAUCCCUAGCUGGUCUGAGAGGAUGACCAGCCACACUGGAACUGAGACACGGUCCAGACUCCUACGGGAGGCAGCAGUGGGGAAUAUUGCACAAUGGGCGCAAGCCUGAUGCAGCCAUGCCGCGUGUGUGAAGAAGGCCUUCGGGUUGUAAAGCACUUUCAGCGGGGAGGAAGGCGGUGAGGUUAAUAACCUCAUCGAUUGACGUUACCCGCAGAAGAAGCACCGGCUAACUCCGUGCCAGCAGCCGCGGUAAUACGGAGGGUGCAAGCGUUAAUCGGAAUUACUGGGCGUAAAGCGCACGCAGGCGGUCUGUCAAGUCGGAUGUGAAA